Molecule: ribosomal RNA, 253 nt
Filed under: uncultured bacterium
Lineage: Bacteria
Description: partial 16S ribosomal RNA
Rfam family: Bacterial small subunit ribosomal RNA
Source: RNAcentral
UACAGAGACUGCAAGCGUUAUUCGGAUUCACUGGGCGUAAAGGGUGCGCAGGCGGCCAAGUGUGUGAGGCGUGAAAGCCCGGGGCUUAACCCCGGAAUUGCACCGCAAACUACAUGGCUAGAGCAUUGGAGAGGGUAGCGGAAUUCACGGUGUAGCAGUGAAAUGCGUAGAUAUCGUGAGGAACACCAGAGGCGAAGGCGGCUACCUGGACAAUUGCUGACGCUCAGGCACGAAAGCGUGGGGAGCAAAAGGG